RNAcentral lists this transfer RNA (71 nucleotides) under Candidatus Pacearchaeota archaeon CG10_big_fil_rev_8_21_14_0_10_31_24. RNAcentral describes it as "tRNA-Gly". It matches the Rfam family "tRNA". Rfam says of the family: Transfer RNA (tRNA) molecules are approximately 80 nucleotides in length. Their secondary structure includes four short double-helical elements and three loops (D, anti-codon, and T loops). Further hydrogen bonds mediate the characteristic L-shaped molecular structure. tRNAs have two regions of fundamental functional importance: the anti-codon, which is responsible for specific mRNA codon recognition, and the 3' end, to which the tRNAs corresponding amino acid is attached (by aminoacyl-tRNA synthetases). tRNAs cope with the degeneracy of the genetic code in two manners: having more than one tRNA (with a specific anti-codon) for a particular amino acid; and 'wobble' base-pairing, i.e. permitting non-standard base-pairing at the 3rd anti-codon position. Lineage: Archaea; Nanobdellati. The record is from RNAcentral.
GCGCUGUUCGUUCAGUGGUAGGAUCAUAGCUUCCCAAGCUAUUGGCGCGGGUUCGAUUCCCGCACGGCGCA